UCCGUAGGCGGGUAAUUAAGUCAGAGGUGAAAUCCCACAGCUUAACUGUGGAACUGCCUUAGAUACUGGUUAUCUUGAGUUUUAGUGAAGUAGAUAGAAUGUGUAGUGUAGCGGUGAAAUGCAUAGAUAUUACACAGAAUACCGAUUGCGAAGGCAGUUUACUAACUAACAACUGACGCUAAUGGACGAAAGCGUGGGGAGCGAACAGGAUUAGAUACCCUGGUAGUCC
RNAcentral lists this ribosomal RNA (229 nucleotides) under uncultured bacterium. RNAcentral describes it as "partial 16S ribosomal RNA". It matches the Rfam family "Bacterial small subunit ribosomal RNA", at positions 568 to 796 of the family's 1533-position model. The record is from RNAcentral.